UUUAACUCCAUGAUAAAAAAAACGCGCAUUCAACGGUGACCCACUGUGCUCAUUUCAUCUUUUUCCCAACUGGUAAAACACAUAAUCAUUAUCGUAAAUUCGUAAUUCUAUUUCCGUUUGCAUAUCAUUUUCCUCGUUGACACCGGACACCCUUCUUAGCCGCUACUCCGUACUAGGGUUUGGUUUCUCUUAUUUUUAAUUUUCGGUAGUGUUUAUUUCCAUUUUUACUCUACCUUGCAAGCUAUUAAUGAUCUUCUCCGUGUUCUGGCAAAAAAUUGUGGAAUUCAAAGGGUUUUCAAGGUUUAAGGGGAGAUAAGACGGGUACUUGGUAUUUUGGUGGGAGGACUUUUUUAUUUUUAUUUUUUCAUUUUGAAAAUUUGCGGUCGUGACUGUGUACUGUCUUGAAUUUUGAUUACUGCUUCAGCUUUGGAAUGAUUUGAAAGAGUGAUGGCGUGUUCAUUUGAAGAUCUGGAACUGGUUUACAUCUAGUGGGAUAUUUUAUUUUCGUUUUUAUUCCACCUUGCUAGUUAGUAUUUUUCUUCUCAGUGUUCUGGGAAUAAGAAACAGUGUAAAUUUGUGAAAUUCGAAAUUAUUUCAAGGUUUAAAGGAAAAAAGAUACAGUCUUGAUUCUGUGUUAUCUUGAAGUUUUGAUUGUUCGCUUUAUCUUUGUAAUGAUUUGAAAGAUAGGUGGCCAUGUUCAUUUGAAGAUCUAGAACCGUUUUAAAUCUAGUGGGAUAUUUUAUUCAGGAAGAAUUGAGCUUUUGCAUUGUUGAAGUAUAGUUGUUGACUUGAAAAGGGAAAAUGGAUAAUUCAAAUCUGCCUGGGCAGAUGAAUAGACAGAUUGAUCAUUUGGGUGUGAACAAGAUGGGAAAAAACAUUAAGAAGAGUCCUUUACACCAGCCCAAUUUUUCUGGCCCUGCUAGGCAACAGCCUCAACCCCAGGUCUACAAUAUUAACAAGAAUGAUUUCCGUAAUAUAGUUCAGCAGCUCACUGGAUCUCCUUCUCAAGAACCGCCAUCUAGACCUCCCCAAAACCCUCCAAAACCUGCAAGUAACCGAUUACAGAGAAUUCGCCCUCCGCCUUUGGCACCAAUGAAUCAACCUCAAAUCCCGAUUCAUCCUUCUAUGCCAAUGCCUGCAUCAGCACACCCUGUACGGGAGCUUCCUAACAACUUUGCAAGACCUCCUCCCCCUCCAGCCCAUUAUGGCCAACCUUCACCACCUGUGUUCCCACCAACUCCUACUGAUGUUUGGGCAAAUACAGCUGAGUCUCCUUUAUCAGCUUAUAUGCGCUACCUGCAAAAUUCAAUCAUCGAUCCAGGUUUCCGACAACCCCAGCCUCAUUAUCAACCUCACUUGCAACCUCAUGUUCCUGGUCAAAAUCUAGCUCGGCCAGCGGGUUCUGGUUUGCUUCCUAAUCCUACCAUGCAACCGUUCCCAUCUCCAAGAAUGAAUGGUCAUCCAAUCCCUCUUCCGUCACCUCGCAUGAAUGGCCCCUUGCCCCAUCUUCCUUCCCCUAGGAUGAAUGGCCCUCCUCCCCUUUUACCCUCUCCUACUUCUCAGUUCCUUUUACCUUCACCUACUGGCUAUUUGAAUUUAUUGUCUCCUCGAUCACCUUAUCCAUUACUUUCUCCAGGGUAUCAGCAUCCUCCUCCUCUGACUCCUAAUUUCUCAUUUUCUUCCGUGCCCCAAUCUGGAAUUUUAGGUCCUGGACCCCAGCUACCUCCUUCUCCUGGUUAUGGAUUUCCUUUGUCACCUUCAGGGUUUUUCCCUCUACUAAGUCCUAGAUGGAGGGAUGAAUAUUCUUAAAAGCACAAGCUACUGACUCGCAAGGGAUACAAAUACUGUCAUUUUUUAUGACUUUCUUCAUGUUGAGUCAUUUCUUCUGUAUCAUAGCUUCUCCUAUGGAUUUCAAUGUACACCGAGAUGCAACGGUUCAUCGUGGAAGUAUGUAGUCUUCGUGUUUGCUGUUGUUUUUCUUGUUUAUACAGGCGCCUUCUGAGAUGUGGAUUCUGUAACAGCUGCAAUCUGUUUUUAUCUGCCCAAAAUGAUUUACUUCAGGUGAUAUUCUGAAGAUUGGACCACUUCUGCAUACACAUGGGCGGCUGCAGCAUGUAAGCAGGUAGUAUUAUAGUCUUUGCAGAUUCAUGUAGGCCAGCUGAUGAAAAAGUAGUUUUGCAUUUUUGUAAUAUUGUUCAUCUUACAGUUAGUCUGAAUUGAGAUUCUUAGUGACUUUAUAAGAGCAUAAAAGUUCUCACUUUUCUGUUAAAUCAUUUUGCUUUUGCACUUGUAUUUUCAUAUACAAUCAUCUAUGUAUUUUUUUUUCCUUGGUAAGCUGUGAAUUUUUUGGGCUUAUUGAUAAUUUGUCUUUCUGAGCAAUUCUUGUGGUGGUAACAACUGCUAUUGCAAUUAAAAUUAAAUAAGUUUGUCUCGGAUGGAUGUGUGGAUGAGAUGGAAGUUAAAAAUAGUUUAUUUUUAGCAUUUUACUUGUUGAUAUGUAUAUUCAUAUUUUUAUUCAAUUUAGAAAAAUGUACUACCACUUCGGCAGUAGAAUUGUUGUUUGGCUUAUGUGUUUCAUUUACAAGGGUUGUCAGAAAACAUUUGACAAUUCUUGUCGUCUAUGACAGCAACCUCUGGAGGCACUUGUCCCUUUAGAUUUAGCUUGGCAAAUUUAUAAAUGGUUUAUAAAGAGAAAUAAUAUGGGUCUACUACAUAUGUGGAUAAUAAAUGAUUAGUAGUACUUAAUGUGUUGUUGAAGUUAACAUUUAACGUUGACUGAACUUAUAACCUACUUGUAAAUUGGCUUGCCAAACAGAGGUUUAGCCCUUGUUUGAUUCCCAUUCUUUUAUUAUUAAAAUGAAAAAUAUAACCGUUAUCCAUCACAUCAAGUCACAAAAUUUGAAUUUUUAUUUCUUGUGUGGGGCCCAUAACAGCUAUAUUUUUCAUUCACAUUCUUCAAAAGAUGAGAAACAAAUGGGGGCUUAAUUUUAUUUUUGUCUUCAAUGGAUGUCCUCACCUUUGUCAAGCAAGAUUAUCACCUUAUGGUGUGAUUUACAUGCCUCAUUGUCAAGCAUUAUCAUAGAUGCUGUUUUGUUUUAUUUUUAUUUUUCUUUUUUGAUUCUGAUAGUAUGUUAUUGAUAUAUUCUUCAUACACAAUCCUCUACAACUGAUGGAUGGGUUUAACUAUCGAUUCCGUUGAUCUCUUGUACAUCAUGACUUAGUUUGCAUCGUAGGUUCUACAGAGUCUUGCUGUCAUAUUCUCCUUUUUCAUCUUAACCUGACUUCCCCUUCAAACAAAAGAAAAUAUUUAUGAUUGUUUAACUCUCUCUCUCCAUAUAUAUAUAUAUAUAUAUGCAUAUGUAUAUAUAUAUAUGUAUAU
This 3379-nucleotide long non-coding RNA is filed under the name Olea europaea subsp. europaea. Lineage: Eukaryota; Viridiplantae; Streptophyta; Magnoliopsida; Lamiales; Oleaceae. The record is from RNAcentral.